AUGGAUAGCUUAUUUGCUUUGUUAUAUAUACUUUGUAGUUUCAACGAUGAGGCAUAUAUGUCAACUAUGGGUGUUGGCUCCAAGAAUUCUCAUUGGUAUCAAACCAAUGACAUGCAUUUCGAUGAUCAUGAGUUUGAGGUGUAAGAGGAUGGUGAGGGCAUAGUCGACGCACCGAAAGGAAGAGGAGGCAACUACACCAAUGAUGAAUACAUCUUGCUAUGCAAUACUUGGUUGCAAGUGUCGAAGGAUCCCUCUGUUGGAGGUGAUCAAAGUAAAGAUGCAUAUUGGAACCGGAUAAAGGAGCACUUUGAUCUACACAACAAAAGUGGAAUUGACCGCUCGGAGAGAUCUUUUCGCUACCGGUGGCCGAAAAUCAACCGAAAUUGUCAAAGGUGGGCGGCCGCACUUAAGGCGGUUGACAAGUUGAACCCAAGUGGCACUAAUGAUAUAGAUAGGGUAAGUGCCAUUUCUUCCAUGUUCAUCAUGCUUCUUCUUGGUAUUUGUAGUGCUAACUUGUUUUUUUAUGUAGCUCAAUAUUGCACAAAACUUGUUCGACGGAGAGGAGAAGAAGAGCAAGAAAGGGAGACCAUUUACCUUGCAUCAUUGCUAUGA
This 612-nucleotide ribosomal RNA is filed under the name Triticum aestivum (bread wheat). Its description in RNAcentral is "partial small subunit ribosomal RNA". Lineage: Eukaryota; Viridiplantae; Streptophyta; Magnoliopsida; Poales; Poaceae. The record is from RNAcentral.